GAGAGCUGGCCUUGGGGAAACGAUCACAGCAGUGUGUGGUGAAACGGAGCAGGAUCAUUACUCACACACAGCACCCCCAGCUGUGGAGGAGGAACUGUGUGUCAGUGGAGCCAUGUUUCUGCCGUAUAGCCGCAGCACCUAAAUCACUCAGAAUAACAAAACAGGAAGUCCCCGAUAUUUACAAACACCUGUGGCCAAGUCAGCACACACACUUUUACAUCUUAGGCCCUUUUCAAAUGAAUGUGCUUUGGAAACACAUAUUUGUUGUGCGCUGAUGUAAUGUUGACCAACAGUUUUGGAUGAAAGUUUGAGGGACAACACAAACAUUUGAAAAAGAGGAGGAUGCUGAGAGAGGGAGAGAGAGAGAGAGAGAGAAAUGAGAACAUGCAGAAAGAGGAAAUGGAGGGAGGGGUGAGCGCAGGAAUGAUUGGGUACAAAAGAGCCAAGUGUUGAUUAAAUACAGCUGUGGAGGGAGCAAGGGAGAGAAGUAGAUGACAGAGAUAGAGAAAGAGAGAGAGACUGAGGCAGGAUGGUGAGGAGGGGUAGAGGGAUUCAAAGAAAGGUGUGUGCUAGAGACCAGAAAAAGAGAGCAUUCUCAUGGACCAGGCCAGCUGAAACCACGACUAUCCACCAGGAAAUGAAAUGGCGUAUGAGACCACAACAACUAUUGCUGGGAAGUGAGGGAAGCCGCAGCUCUGCAGGGCUUCAGGCUAAGCUGAUUCUGCCACCUCAUGAAGUCGAUGAGCCUGGCAUAUAGCUCUCAGUAAGAAGCAUUUUAUAACACCUGAAGUGAUCACAGUAGGAAAAUGCUCCAGAAUGCUAUCAUCUAAAAGACAGCCAGCUGCCAACAUCUGCCAAGCGCUUUUUGGCAGGGACCUAGGCAGACAUAAUUCUCAAUAUCUGCUAAUGGUAAAUGGAGGCUUUCAAGAAGGGAAACAGAGGGGAGAGAGACAACACAUCGACCAGAUUAAUUAUGAACUGAGUGGAAAAGAAAGGAUUUACAUAGCAUUUAACAGAUGUUGUCUGGACUUUUGAACCUUUUUUUAUUAUUCGGAUUGCUGCUGCAAAAAAAUAAAAAAUGGUAAGCAGGAAGAAGGAAAGAAGUCAUAUGAGAAAAGCUGAAGAGACUGCUUAAAAUAGAUAAAGAAAACAAAGACUGCAUGGUCAAAAAAAGAGAGGAAAGAUAAAUAGACAGACGGGAAGAUGAGAAUCUUAAGUGCACACUUGGUCCUGCAUUGGCUUAAGCAAAGCAGCUACAAGCAAUUGCAGAUGAAAACAAAAUAAAUUAAAUGCUUCAACAAAACAACAAACAGCAAAGUCCACAUUCCUGCGGUUAAUACAACAUGUGAUUUAUGUAAUAAAUAUUGGUUCAUA
Carassius auratus (goldfish) is the source of this 1374-nucleotide long non-coding RNA. RefSeq lists it as uncharacterized. Lineage: Eukaryota; Metazoa; Chordata; Actinopteri; Cypriniformes; Cyprinidae. The transcript has 3 exons. The record is from RefSeq and is a predicted model, not a curated record.